AGAAACCGCAUUUCCUUUCCUUCUAGCUUCAUGGUCGGCCAGUUGCUGCAGAGGAAACAACCGAAAACUUCUCAAACAUUUCCUCUACAAACUUCACCUCAAAAAUCUUGCCAAACCUUCAUAGAUUCACCACACAAGCUCAAGACAAUUUGGACAAUCACUUGGACAAAGAAAGAGCUGCACAUUCACGGAUCUUCUUGGAGUUUUAGGGGCACCAAAAUCUGACUUUUUAGCACACAAGUAAGGUAACCAUGAUCCACUCUUCAGAUCUUGUUCAAUAAAGGCCAACUUACACUUAAGAGCUUGAUUAUGCUUAUGGGUAACUUAUUAUCGUUGAAAAUUGUUAAAUGUGGGCUCUAUGAACUCCCACUUUGGGUUGAUGACUGUGAUGAUGUUUGAUGAUAGUUUUAUUGCUGAAAUACUGCUUAAGGAAGUAGAUUAAAGGUGCAUUAUUUCCAGAAACGUUAUUGAGUUCUUGAAGCAAAAAGUUCCGAUUUUACCCCUGCUCUGUUCGGUCACUUUACUGCAGAUAAUUGAGGAUUUAAAGGCUUGAUUAUGUUGUUUACAUGUUGUAGAAGUUGUGUACAAAAUUUUGUUGAAAAAUAUUGAGUUUUGAUUGCUCAAACGAAAUUAUUUCGAAAACUGGUAAUCUGGAAAACGGUUUCGCCGUAAUCCAGACCAGUGGUUGUAUUUUGUCCAUAACUCCGUGCUCCAACGUCGAAAUCAAGUGCCGUCAGCGGCAUUUGAAACUAGACGUUCCCAUGUUUCCAACGGUGUAUAAUGAACAUUCUGGUUCUAUGUGUGUGAGCCACACCAUUCAUCUGAAGUCGGCUGUCCUGUUUCUCCGUUCUGCCGAAAUGAUUUGAUGAUACUGCAACUUGAGGCUUGAUUUUGAACCAGUUGCAUGCUGAAACUUAAAACGAUUUCUUCUGUGAAGUUGUAGCCCUAUGAAUGUAUUUUCUAACACUAUCAACCAUUUCCAAUUCCGAGUUAAAUUGAGGGAGUUAUGAUCAAUACACGGAAACUGCCUCGUUUUUGAAAACCUUAGCUUUGGACAGAUUGCUUUAAGGAUUUUUCCAAACUUUGGUUGAUUGAAUGAUCACCCUUCCGAGGGUAUUUUUCCAUGAAAUUUGAUAGAGAGAUAACCUUCAUAUGGAAGUAUUAUACUGCAAAAUUUGGUGUCAAUCCAAGUCCGUUUCGGCACUUAACUAAAGGUCCAAAGUUGGAACCAAAUCUGGAAAUUUUGUAACAAUCUUGAAUUUUUCCCAACUUUGAGCUACCGUAUCUUGGUAUUCGGAACUCCGAUUCUUGAGCCGUUUGUUCUGUCCAAAACUUUACUUGCACUUCUAAUUGAGUUAUAAGUUUCAAGGGCUGGUUUGCAAAGAGUGAUUUUUGCCGAAUUUCCAAAGUUAGCGAAAAACCAACCCGGCUCAAUCCUAGCAAUCUAGAACAGCAACUUUAGGCUCAUUUUUUAAUACCUUCCACUUAGAUUCAUGGAAUGGUGUCUUCUAAGAACUUUUAGUACUUUCAAAGACGAUUCCAAUGGUACCAAAUUUAUCAAGUUUCGAUUAGUAGAAAAGAAGUUAUGAUUUUUCAAAGAUUUGACCAAAAAUCGAAAAUUCUGAAAUUCCAAAGGAAAUUCGCGAAGGAGCAAUUUCACCAGAAUCCGGCCUUGAAUCCGGCCAGAAACUGGCCGGAUUGUCGGCCGGAUUGGUGGCCAAAAUUGAAAAAAAAGGAGGUUAGCCACUGCCUCCAAUCCGGCCAGAAAUCCGGCCGGAUAUCCGGCCAGGUUCCGGCCGGAUUGUGACGUGGCUAACCUUCCUUCGAUUUCGAUCGUUCGUUUUGCAAUCUUUUCGCUUGUACUUGUUUCCAACCAAUGAUUUUAAGGAUAAUAAUCCAAUUUUUGUACUUAAGUUUUACACCCUUUUGAGAAUUCAACUUCAAAGGCAAGUCAAACGAAGUUUUCAAUUAUUUUCGAACAUUACUCGUGUUCAAUCUUUCUCACCACUUGGGGACCUACAGUAAUUAUCUAAUAUACGAUGUUCAGGCACGCACGAGGACCUCCAAGAGGACCCUACUGUGGAAGUUUGAACUCUCCCUCCAACUUACUAGCUUGCAUAACUUGGUGAGUGUCAAGUGUAUGCCUACUUGAACUCUAAAGACUUGAUUCAUGCUUGAUUCACCUGAUUUCAUGCUUAGCUUAACUGAUUUUGACAAAAUGGAGUCGAGUGUGUACUUGAUCGCACUCGUUCUCAUUUGAAACGAAUGACUCAUGCUUAACAUGAUUUGCUUGGUUUACAUGACUUGAAAUGUCUGCUUAAACCCAUCAAAUGAUUGAAUACAUGAAAUGGUAUGCUAUGAUUGCAUACGUCGAUGGAGUGAAUCUCCUCGACAUUUACAUGACAAAUGGGGGACGCCCAAACUCAUAGGCCGACCUUGGAACUCGAGCCGGCAUGGGCUUGGUCGGGAACCUCGGUGAGCCAUGAGAUUCAAAUGAUAAGCUUGAUCUAUUGAGAGAUCUCGCUUGGCAUACUCGUAUAGUAUCGCCUUAUAAAUGUAGUGCGGGCCCGAAGUGGUGUAUGGUGGACGGAUGGGAAGUAAGUGGUGAACUACGGAUAUGAAAAUAUCAAUCCGGUUGACGGAGAGUCAUCACGGAAAGAUAUAUAAAUGGUAUCGGCAAAUGUGGAACUUAACUCCUGAGAGCUUCUAUAUCCUUGAAUUGUUUCUGGUUACAGUUUAUUGGUGUUAUUAAUUACUUGCAAGCUAAUACCUGAAUUGUUAUUUGGGCUUGUUAUCUGAACUAUGUGUUUGCAUGUGUGUUCUUGGCCUCACGAGCGUUUUGCUCACCCUGUAGAUUUGUUUUCCUUAACAGGUUGAGUUCGGAGGUAAAAUGGAGCAGCCCUCUUGAUGUGCUUUUGUUUUAGGGUUGCUAUUACUUUUGGUUAUGCCUUGAUUUUGGGAUUGUACUUUUGGUACGGAAAUGUAACCUUUGGACGAAAUGUAUUUUGUAUACCGACGUGUGGUUUGGAGAAUGGAUGACUAUUAUUAAGUUUGAACGUUUCCGCAUUUUAUUGUAUCUAAGUUAUUGGCUUGUAUUGUGUGGUCCAGCUAUAAGUUGAAUGGAAUUGCUUGAGUCCUGGCGAGAGUUAGGCAGGCGUCCCGCGGAUACCCUUUGGUUCGCCUUAGGGAGAAGUGGGGGCGUUACAAGCAUGAGUUUCUUUAUUUGGAAAGUACACUAAAAUGUCAUCAAUAAACAUCACCAUAAAAUGGUCUGGUUACAGUUUGAAUAACUAUUCAUCAGAUCUGUAAAGGCUGCCGGAGCAUUGGUUAAUCCAAAGGGCAUCACAAAAAACUCAAAGUGCCCGUAUCUCGUACGAAAUGCACUUUUUUGGAUGUCUUCGGCUUUAAUCUUUAAUUGAUGGUAUCCAGAUUUCAAAUCUAUUUUAGAAAAUACUUUAACUCCCUUCUAUUGGUCAAAAAGAUCAUCUAUCCUUGGAAAAGGGUAUUUGUUCUUUAUUGUGAUUCGAUUCAACUCUCCAUAAUCGAUACACAACUUCAGGCUACCAUCCUUUUUCUUUACAAAGAAUACUGGUGUACCCUAAGGGGAAACACUAGGUCUAAUGAACUUCUUAUCUAGUAGUUCCUGUAAUUGUUCCUUAAGUUUCUUUAAUUUUGCAGGCGUUAUUCUAUAGGGGUCCUUAGAUAUAGGAGUCGCCUCAGGUCAUUCUAAAGACGUCUCCUCUUUCCCCGUGUCUAUAACAUAAGCCAAAUAUGCCUCACACCCUUUUCUUAUUGCCCUAUACAUCUGCAUGGCAGAUAGAAGAGGUAACUUACGAAUUUUCCUGUCACCAACAAUUCCUUGAUAAGAGAAAUCCUUCUCGCUCGAUUUCAUGAAUAACACCCUCUUCUUCUUACAAUCAAUUUGUGCAAAAUGUCUAGCUAGCUAAUCCAUUCGUAGGAUAACAUCAAAAUCACUCAUAUUUAUUUGUACUAGAUCCACAUCUAAUCUCCUAUCCUCCAAUUUCACACUUCAGUUUGGAUACCUAGUAUGAGACACUAGGAUUCUAUUUCCUGGAGCAGCCACUCAGUAGGGGUGGUUCGUCCAUUCAGGAGACAUGCACAAGUACUUUGUAAAAGAGUGACUAGCUCCACAACCAAAUAGCACGUAUGCAGGCACAGAAUUAAUUAGAAGAGUACCCGUAACCACGUCGCCUGCCACCUCCGCCCCAACAUCGGUCAUGGCAUGCACUCUCGCGUUAACUUUUGGCUUCUUAUCAGUGAGAUUGCCACUCUUAUCUCGUUCUACCUUCCUAUUUGGACUAUUCAUAGCUCUAUGCCCCUGCUGUCCACAUUCAAAACAAGUUCCUGUUCCAACUCGACAUUCUCUUCGGUGUAUCUUCCCAUAAGUUUUACACGUGGGGAAAGUUGUUUUAAGCCGGCAUUCUCCCCGAUACAUCUUUCCACAAGUUUUGCACAAAGCAAAGGUGUUUCCACUAGUUAUCUUUUGUGGUGACCCGCGACCUUUCUUAAUUAAGCGUAACUGUCAGCCAGGUUUCAGUGCUCCCGCCACUGCAAGUUCAUUCCCUAAUCUAGGCCUUUUAUUCCUACUCUCUUCAUCUAAUCUUUUGCAAUCAGUCUCAACUUUAAUGCUGGCGUCCAACACAUCAUUAAGCGUAGGGGUAUAAGAGGUGUUCACCUUAGUUUGAAUUCUACUCGACAACCUCCUUAUAAACUUAUACUUUUUCAACUCCCCAUCUACCAUUAUUGAUGGGACGAACCUUCCUAAUGUCAUGAAUUUAUUCGAAUACUGCACCACAAAAAUUCUUGGAGUUUGUUUCAAAUUGAAAAUUGAUCUAUCUUUUGCAUCCGUACAGCCGGUGGGAAAAAGUAUUUGAGGAACUACUUUCUAAAUUUUAUCCAACUUACUUGUGGGGCGACAGUAGGUUCCAAAGUUGCCCACCACUUAUUGGCUUCUCCUACCAAAAAGGGUUUGAUGAUUAGGUGUUUCAUCUCCUCCGACACUUGCAAAAGUGUAAAAUUAUUUUCUAUUUCAUCUAACCACUUUUCUGCCAAAUCCGGGUCAGGAGUUCCAUCAAAGGUAGGGACAUGGACCCUUUUUAUUUUGUCAUAAUAUGAUUGAGUUUCCCCUUUUCCAUGAUUUUGGGUUUGAACAGUCUGAAUCUGUGCUAAUUGUGUCUGGGCUUUUAAUGUUUGGGCUACCUCGAUUAGUGCAAUCACUAAUUUUGCGGGUAACAUCAGAUAAGGUUGAUGCCCACUUGAUCCAGCCUCUUAGUAACCCAUAUUCUAAAGGUCUCCUUUUGGAAUCCGCCCAACUCUUGUUUUGGUCCUAAACUACUUUUAAUCUUCUUCGAAUAAUCUUAAUUUUUUUCAAAGUUCUUUCUACCAAAUCAAGACCAGUGAUCAGUUUCUCACCAACUUCAUCCCAAUAUAAGGGGGAUCUACACUUUCAUCCAUACAAUGCUUCAAACGGUGCCAUACCUAUAUCACUAUGAUAGUUAUUAUUGUACAAGAAUUUCAUUAGUUUCACCAACCUAUCCCAAUUGUUCGAGAAAUCUAGAGUACAAGUUUUGAGCAUGUCUUCUAGUGUCUGUAUGGUCCUUUCCGAUUGUCUAUCUGUUCGAGGGUGGAAGGUGGUACUUAAUCUCAAUUUAGUCCCCAUAACUUCUUGAUAGGUCGACCAAAAUAUAAAUGUGAAUCUAGGGUCUCGAUCAGAUACUAUAUUUACUGGAACACCAUGAAGACAUACGGUUUCCUCCAUAUACAUCUCUACCAACCUCUCCAUUGUAACCCCAUUCAACAUUGGUAGAAAGUGGACAGAUUUGGUUUGCCGAUCGACUAUAACCUAAAUGGCAUCGUUAUUCCUAAUCGAUCGAGGAAACCCUACCACAAAAUUCAUUGCCACAUGUUCCUACUUCCAUUGGAGAAUUUUCAAGGGUUGCAAUAAGCCGACAGGUCUUUGAUGCUCGGUCUUUACUUGUUGGCAUACCAGAUAUCGCUACAUAUUCCGCUAUUUCUCGUUUCAUCUCAUUCCACCAAUAAUUCCUAUUCAAGUCUUGGUACAUUUUAGUCCCACCAAGGUGAAUUGAAAAUCUCGAAUUGUAUGCCUCCUUUAACAAUUCCUGCUUCAAUCCUUCAUUCCUUGGCACACAUAAUCUACUAUUUUUCCACAAGCUCCCAUCAUUUUUCAAUUCCCUAUCGAAGGGUUCCACUCCAAGUUUUUCAUUUUUUUUAGUGUAAGCGGGAGGAAUCGAACCCGAGACCUGUUGUUUACACUCCCUCCCCCCGUACCACUCAACCUAACAUUUCCUCCCCGCACUCUAAGUUUUUCCUUAAUCUUUGCAAACCCGUCAUUAGAAUGUCGUGCUUCUUUAAUCCUAUCUAUUAAAGUCGAUACGACCACUAAGGUAGCUAGCAUUUGAACCAUAGAGUCCACCAUUUUCACUUCAAAAUUUUCCAUUUGAUCCUUUACUGUGAGUUCUCUUAAUACCCUUGACUUCCUACUGAGGGCGUCUGCUAUCCGGAUGGUAACUGAUUGUCAAAUCAUAAUCUUCAAUUAGUUCUAACCACUUUCUUUGUCUCAUGUUCAAUUCCCUUUGAGUAAAUAGAUACUUGAGACUCUUGUGAUCGGUGAAAAUUUCACAUUGCACACUAUAUAAGUAAUGUCUCCAUAUUUUCAACGCAAACACUAUUGCCGUCAAUUCCAAAUCAUACGUGGGAUAAUUCUGCGCGUACGAUUUUAGUUGGCGGGAAGUAUAAGCAAUUACUCUCCUAUUUUGCAUCAAAACACAUUCUAAACCAUUUUUAGAAGCAUCACUAUAAAUUGCAAAUCCUUCCGUUCCAGAGGGUAGGGUAAGUAUUGGGCUGACAAUAGUUUCUCCUUUAACCUCUGGAAACUCAUUUCACAUUUAUUUGUCCAUUCAAAUGUUGCUCUCUUUUGAGACAAUCUUGUAAGAGGCAUAGCAAUGGUGGAGAAUCUUUCUAUAAAUUUUCGAUAAUAGCCGGCCAACCCUAAGAAACUCCUCACUUCGGUUACAAUAGUGGGCCGUGGCCAUUCUACAAUUGCUUCCACUUUCUUUGGAUCAACGGACACCCCUUGAGCUGAUAUCACCUGUCUUAAGAAGGUCACACUUUUCAACCAAAAUUCACAUUUACUAAAUUUAGCAUACAAUUUCUCUCUUCUUAGUCUCUCUAGGACUUCCUUAAAGUGGGUAGCAUGAGUUUCUUCAUUUGGGAAGUAUACUAGAAUUUCAUCAAUAAACACCACCAUAAAACGGUUUAGUUGCAGUUUGAAUACACGAUUCAUCAGAUCUGUAAAGGCUGCCGGAGUAUUGGUUAAUCAAAAGGGCAUCACCAAUAACUCAUAGUGCCCGUAUCUCUUGCGAUGCAAGUUUUGGGAUGCCUUCGGCUUUAAUCUUUAAUUGAUGGUAUCCAAAUCUCAAAUCUAUCUUAGAAAAUACUUUAGCUCCCUUUAAUUGGUCGAAAAGAUCAUUUAUCAUUGGAAGGGGGUAUUUGUUCUUUAUUGUGAUUCGAUUCCCUAUAAUCGAUACACAAUCUCAGGCUACCAUACUUCUUCUUUACAAAGAGUACCGGUGCACCCCAAGGGGAAACACUAGGUCUAAUGAACUUCUUAUCUAGUAGUUCCUGUAAUUGCUCCUUAAGUUUCUUUAAUUUUGCAGGCAUCAUUCUAUAUGGGGCCUUAGAUAUAGGAGUCGCCUUAGGUAUAACAUUUAUUUCAAACUCUAUUUCUCUACUCGAAGGUAGACCAGGAAGGUCUUCCGGGAACACGUCAGAAAAGUCCUUCACCAUUGAAAUCUAUUCUUGAUAAUUUACGAAUUUCAUACGAAUUUUCCUAUCACCAACAUUUCCUUGAUAAGAGAAAUCUUUCUCGUUCGAUUUCAUGAAUAACACUCUCUUCUUCCUACAAUCAAUUUGUGCAAAAUAUCUAACUAGCCAAUCCAUUCCUAAGAUAACAUCAAAAUCACUCGUAUUUAUUUGUAGUAGGUCCACUUCUAAUCUCCUAUCCUCCGAUUUCACACUACAGUUUGGUUACCUCGUAUGAGCCACUAGGAUUCUAUUUCCUGGAGUAGCCACUCGUUAGGAGUGAUCCGUCCAUUCAGAAGACAUGCACAAGUACUUUGUAAAAGAGUGACUAACUCCAUAAUCAAAUAACACGUAUGCAGGCACAAAAUUACUUAGAAGAGUACCUGUGACCACGUCGCCUACCACCUCCACCUCAACAUCGGUCAUGACAUGCACUUAACUUUUGGCUUCUUAUCAGUAAGAUUGUCACUCUUAUCUUUUUCUAUCUUCCUAUUUGGACAAUUCAUAGCCCUAUGCCCCUGCUGUCCACAUUCAAAACAAGCUCCUGUUCCAACUCGACAUUCUCGUUGGUGUAUCUUCCCAAAAGUUUUAUACGUGGGAAAAGUUGUCUUAAACCAGCAUUCUCCCCGAUGCAUCUUUCCACAAGUUUUGCACACAGAAAAGAUGUUUCCUCUAGUUAUCUUUUGUGGUGGCCUACGAUUUUUCUUAAUUAAGCGGAACCAUCCGCCAGGUUUCAUUGCUCCCGCCACUGCAAGUUCAUUCCUUAGUCUAGGCCUUUUAUAUCUACCCUCUUCAUCUAAUCUUUUGGCAAUCAGUCUCAACUUUAACGCUGGCGUCCAACACAUCAUUAAGCAUAGGGGUAUAAGAGGUGUUCACCCUAAUUUGAAUUCUACUCGACAACCCCCUGAUAAACUUAUAUUUUUUCAACUCCCCAUCUGCCAUUAUUGAUGGGACAAACUUUUUUAAUAACAUGAAUUUAUUCGAAUACUGUACCACAGACAUUCUUAGAGUUUGUUUCAAAUUUUCAAACUGAUCUAUUUUCUGCACCCUUACAACCGGUGGGAAAAAGUAUUUGAUGAACUUUUCUCUAAAUUUUGUCCAACUUACUGGUGGGGUGACGGUAGGUUCCAGAGUUGUCCACUAUUUAUUUGCUUCUCUUACCAAAAACAAGUUUGAUGAUUAGGUAUUUUAUCUCCUUUGGCACUUGCAAAAGUGCAAAAUUAUUUUCUAUUUCAUCUAACUACUUUUCUGCCAAAUUCGGGUCAGGAAUUCCAUCAAAAGUCGAUACAUGAACCCUUUUCAUUUUCUUAUAAUAUGAUUGAAUUCUCCCUUAUUCAUGAUUCUGGGUUUGAACAGCCUGAAACUGUGCUAAUUGUGUCUAAACUUGUAAUGCUUGGGCUACCCAGAUUAGUGCAGUCACUAAUUCUGCGGGUAACUUCAUGUAGGGUUGAUGCCCACUUGAUCCAGCCUCUUGGUAACCCAUAUUCUGAUUAUUAUUUCGUUGAUAUGGUUCUUAGUUAUGAUUACCGUGAUCGUUUUCACCAUUAGGGUUGCCAUUGUGAUUUCCGCCACGUCUAGUGUUUGGUGCCAUUUCCUAAAUCAAACAGAUAAGUUCUACACGAAAGUAAGUAUUCUAUUCUUAUUUAUUAUUAUUAUUAUUAUAUAUAUGAAUAUAUAUUUUUAAGAUGACACAACUAAAGUUAUCUACUUGUAUAUUUUAUGCAUACUAUCUCAUAAAAUAAAAUAGGUGAAUAAAUAAAUUUAAAAAAUUUAAAAUAGAGAUUUUAUUCAUUAACUCAAGAUGAAAAGAACGGUCGACUUCUUACACAUCGAAAUCAAUAUCCUAACUUAUUCUAAAAAUAUCUAACGAAUCUAGUGUCUAAACCGUCUAAUUAUAAUCUACGAUUGGAUUAAAAAACUAAUCAAUGCAAACAAUCACUCACCAACCUACUAUUGUUCUUGAAAUAGUAUCCCCUAAGACUAAUAAAAUAAAUGAAUCAUUAAAUAGAAUCUCUCUUAGACUAACUCUACUGCUCAUCCGCUGGUGGGUCUGUAUCCACAAUUGCUCCGUCUCCUACACCUCCCUUAGCACCGUUUUGGUUCUCAACUCCAUUUUCCCCCUUAUGAUUUUCUACGGGCAUGUUCUUAGGAUUCUCCUCGGGGUCGUCAUCUAGUUCCACGUCACUAUCAGGCCACAGGUG
Molecule: long non-coding RNA, 10043 nt
Filed under: Coffea arabica (coffee)
Lineage: Eukaryota; Viridiplantae; Streptophyta; Magnoliopsida; Gentianales; Rubiaceae
Description: long non-coding RNA (CARA_LNC007493)
Source: RNAcentral